Molecule: non-coding RNA, 61 nt
Organism: Pristionchus pacificus
Lineage: Eukaryota; Metazoa; Nematoda; Chromadorea; Rhabditida; Neodiplogasteridae
Source: Rfam
UCUUCAUUUCUCGUGCUCUCUCACCGGUCAGAGAUGCGAGAGAGUGUGUAAAAUGAAGAGA